This 4511-nucleotide long non-coding RNA is filed under the name Marmota monax (woodchuck). The record is from RNAcentral. Lineage: Eukaryota; Metazoa; Chordata; Mammalia; Rodentia; Sciuridae.
AGAAGGUGGGGUGGAAAGGAGGCUGCUCCAACGAGGUGGGAUGACAGGCUUCUGGGAGGCUGAAGCUGCACCCGCGGAAGGGAUCCAGGAGGUGGUGGAGGCCAUACCGUGGGUGGAGGGACAACGCAAUGGAAGGGCCAGGUAGAGGCCCUGGAGGUUGGAGUAAUAGAAAAGGGAGGUGUUCUGGGGAGGGGGAGUGUGAUAGCUCGGAUGGUUGGGGGGUUGUUAUAUUCCCAGUGGAUGCUGGACCUUAUGAAGCAAAGGCCAGUCUCCCUUAGGGAUGGCGAUAGAUAAGGAAGGCGCUCAACACAUAUUUCUCACAAAUAGCCAAAAUUUGCUAAUCAGUACCAUACCAGGAAUCAAAAGAGCUAACACAACCUCCACCCAAUCCAGCUAGGGAAAUGAGUGAGGCAGUUUUUAUUAGAUGAUGUUAAUCCUUCAUGCAUGCAAAAAGGGAUAUAGGGAAGUUUACAAGAACUGACAUAAUGUAAUAAUUUUCUCUUUUUAAAAUAAGAGCAGGGAACAGAAGUUGAAGACCAGUCAGCACCAAAAAGGCUGUACAAGGUGCUCUUGCCACAUGUGGGUCACCAAUGUGUGACCAGCAGAAAGAGGAAAUAUCAGUUAUGAUUCACAGUGUUCUUGUCCCACGAGGAAUCAUAAUUAUUACUAUUACUGACAGGUUUCUCCUGUAGAACCUCACUUCCUCAAAGGCAGUCUGUCACCAGUAUCCUGGACACUUUUGAAGUACAGCAAAGAUCUUGAGUUGUUUGCUAUCUUGGCCCUAAGAAGGUGGCAUAAUGCAGUGAAAACAAUUAGGUCCACCCACUCCUAAAUCUUUACUUAACUAAGGGUGGGUUUUUAAAGUACCCUGACCAUUUGUCCAUCUACUUUAACACAGCAGUGUAGAAUACCCACUCUCAGAACCCCAGACUUCUGGUCACAGGAUGUAGUAGUUCUCUCCAUUGCACAUAGCAAUAAUAGGUUUAAAAACAGAGUCUAGAAAGAAAUAACUGGGCUUAAAAACAAAAUAAGCAUUGCUGUGGACCAGAAAUAGAAGUCACAGUGAUGAGCAGAGGACUGAAGUAUAUCCUGCACCUCCCUAUGGGACAUCACUGGAGAAGGAAAUGAAUGAGUCCCUCAAGGAGGGACUCAGCCCCUUCAUGAUAACUCAGGCUGUAGGUCAGAAAUUAGUGAUUAAAAGGGGUUUACCAGACUUAUAAAUCCUAAAUGUUUCACUUUCAGAAGCUUCCUUAAAGUUUGCUGGAUUACAGUGGGAAAGAGGCACCUCCUCACCCUCCUAGAGAUGGAUAGGUCAUCUACUCCUCCUGAAUGUCACCAACAUCCCCAGUCUUUCCAAGUACUUUAAGGGUCUUGCAACCUCAGCUUCCCACAGACUUAUGGAAGCUACCCAGCUCUACCUGCAGAUGUUUCAAGAUGUCAUGGUCUCAGAACAUGGGAAAAUAACAUUUUGGAGUCAAUCCUAUAUAUCAAUUCCAGGUUAUAAGGAAUGGGGACCAUCAUGGUUCAACGUGAUUAAGAAGUGGGUGAGCCCCCUUUCUAACAUGUGAUUUGAAGAACACUAAUUUUUUUCUUCUUCUUUAUUUAUUUAUUUAUUUAUUUUAUUAGGAAUAGCACCUGGGUCACUUUACCACUGAAAAACACCCCCCAGCCCUUUAUAUUUUUUGAGAUGAACUUGCUAAGUUGCUGAGGCAGACCUCAAACUUGACAUCCUUCUGCCUCAGUCUCCCAAGUUGCCGGGAUUCCAGGCAUGCACCACUGUACAAGGCUUGAAGAGCACUGAUAUUACUCACUCCUAGGGAAGCAAUAGAGGAAGGAAGAUACAGCAGGACAGUAAGAGAGGGUAAACCAUCACACAGCAAGCUCCUCUGUUUAGGAUCCCUACCUACAAUGACUUUGGUUGAUGUUUCAGAGGGUCAAGAUACAGUUUAGCUUCAUCAUCUUCAAAGGAGAAGGGAAAGGUGUAAAACUAAGACCUGGAGUGGAUGUACCUGAUCCUCAUCCUACAGGCCCUUGGGACCCAAAGUGCAGCCCUUAGACCAGCACCACCUGGGAGCUCACUAGAAAUGCAGAAUCCUAGGCCUUAUCAAACCCAAAAUCAACAUCUGCAUUUUAACAAAAUCCCCAGGUGACACAAACACAGUAAGUUGAGAAGCAUUGUUAAAGUCCACCUCCAUUAUACCCUAUCUAGACAUUUCCAAACUGUUGUAAAAGAGAAGACUACAGACUCGGAGUUUAAAAGCAAGCUUUUGUGGUUUGUCAGAAUACAAAAGUCAUGGAAGCACACCUCAGUAACCCACCAGAAUGACUGGCUUUCCUGGGAAGAGCUAGUUGGCCCUCAGGAAGGCAUGCCCUGGAAAUAAUGAUCCAGUAUAAGGCAAAGUGCCAGCCAAAAGGAUGUCACCACCAGAGGGAGCUGUCCAGCUGCCCCCACCUGCCCCCCCCCCCAAGGAGAUGCCAGUUCCUCCCCAGGAGACAUUAAUCAGUACCCAUCUGAGCUUGGAAAGUACUCAGCACUCUCAACAAAUGGCCAGAGUUGAGAAAUUAAAAUCCCAGUCCAGUAGGAAGUGCUAGGUAGUUGCUGAAAUUUCAAUAUCUGUAACUGAAUAUUUCAUUCUUAGCAGUUACAGUCUAGAUAAAAGAAUCCAUUGCUUCCAUCACCAUGAUGGAGUGCUCAAACAGCUUAAAAUGAUAUUCAGAGAUCACAGGGGAUCAGAAUAACCAUCUGUUUGAAAAAGCAUCCUCCAAAACAAAAUAAUUUAACUAAGUAAGUAAACUGAAAUCAUGAGGCUUUUGUUAGCCAAAAAAAAAAAAGCUAUACAACAUGAAGAGUUUUUCUUUGAAAUUUUUUCCAAAUAGGAAAAUUUUUUAUUAAAUGCCCCUUAAACUUCCAUAAAUGAUCCCUUAUAAUUAUAUAAUGAAGCUAAGAAAUGUAUUGAUUAAUUGUAUUUUGUAACAUUUUGGCUACUUUUCUAAUGUUGUUUAUUGCUCUUAGAAGUUUGAUAUUUAUCCAAGCAAAGAACUCUUGAGUUCUAUGCUAGAGUUGUCUCUAGGUAACAUGAUGAUAAUAGUAAAGAGAAAGUAAGAUGUGAAUUAAAAAGAUGAUUUCACCCCAUUUUGUAUAACUAUAAUGCACUGAUGAGAACAUUAAAAAUAAAAAGAUGCUUUCACAUAAAACCUUAAGAUCCUACCUUUAGUAUGCUAUUCUUUCUUAAUCAUAGAGAAAUCCAAAAUAGUGAUUACCUCCUUGAUUUACCUUUAAUUAAAGAAAAGACAUCUCCUGGUGCAACCUCAAGGUAUUGCUAACUGGGAGAAUCAUUUGAAUUUAUUCAUUCUAAGUCUUGAUAGAACAAUAUGUAACAUGAUAUUUAAUUGAUAAGGGAAUGUCACAUGUUUUUAAAAGAUGAUCUUAUAGGAUCUUAAGUGUUACAGUAUGUGUAACAUUUGUUCAGAAAAAAAUUAAGUAAAAUUUAAAAGUUUUAAGACCAAAACAGGAUUGAGUAAAAGCAUAUUUACCAGUAGUGUAAAGAUAUAAGAAAUUAAAUGGUAGGAGGCGGAAUUGGCGUGUUUGGAUAAAGAUCACACAUACGUGAAUCUUAUAAUAACUAUGUUAAGUGAAAAUAGAUGAACCGGAUGGUGUUAAGAUGAAACUUAGGAUACUGUAGACAGAGCUGAUUGAUUUCAAAGUGAAGUGAUGAGACAGAUGAUCCAGUAUGGGGAGGGGGUGAAGAGUAGGGACUGGUUAUUAAAUUCUACCACUUCUAAGGACUUAAAGCUACCAGCUAUUAGAAUUCCAGGAUCCUCGAGAUAAAAGCAAAAUGGAACAGUAGAACCAGGCUGUCCAUCACCUGAAUAUUUGAAAAGCCACACUGAACAAGAGAUGAAUUACUAUGUUCCUCACUGAGAUAUUUUCUGUGUGCCAAAGAAGCUAGGCAAAAAAUAUUGAUCCCACCAGAUGCAGUGGCACACGCCUGUAAUCCCAGUGGCGUGGGAGGCUGAGACAGGAGGAUCGCAAGUUCAAAGUCAGCCUCAGCAACUGUGAGGCACUAAGCAACUCAGUGAGACCCUGUCUUUAAAUAAAAUACAAAAUAGGGCUGGGGAUGUGGCUGUGUAGCCAAGUGCCCCUGAGUUCAAUCCCUGGUACAAAAAAAAAAAAAAGCCAGUUUAGCAAGACCCUAAGCAACUUAGUGAGACCCUGUCUCAAAAAGGACUGGAGAUGUGACUUAGUGGUAAAGUACUCCUGGGUUCAAUCCCUAGUAUCAAAUAAGUAAACAAUUCUCUUUUCUAGCUCUGUCCAUUGAGAUGGCCUCAGAGCAACAUUACUCCAAAGUGCACCCUGGUGCUCAGAUCCUGCAAUAUCUCUAGUUUUUCCCAUUAAAAGGAACUAGAGGGGCUGGAGUUGUGACUGAGGGGUAGAGUGCUGGCCUAGCAUGUGUGAGGCACUGGGUUCGAUCCUCAACACCACAUAAAAAUAAAAUAAAGCUAUUGUGUCC